UACAGAGGGUGCGAACGUUGCUCGGAAUUACUGGGCGUAAAGCGCGUGUAGGCGGGUCGGCAAGUCAGGCGUGAAAUCCCCAGGCUCAACCUGGGAACUGCGCUUGAAACUGCCGGUCUUGAGUAUCGGAGAGGGUGGCGGAAUUCCUGGUGUAGAGGUGAAAUUCGUAGAUAUCAGGAGGAACACCGGUGGCGAAGGCGGCCACCUGGACGAUUACUGACGCUGAGACGCGAAAGCGUGGGGAGCAAACAGG
RNAcentral lists this ribosomal RNA (253 nucleotides) under uncultured bacterium. RNAcentral's name for it is "partial 16S ribosomal RNA". It matches the Rfam family "Bacterial small subunit ribosomal RNA", at positions 524 to 776 of the family's 1533-position model. RNAcentral also lists the same sequence under 1 other name. The record is from RNAcentral.